Molecule: long non-coding RNA, 3010 nt
Organism: Peromyscus californicus insignis
Lineage: Eukaryota; Metazoa; Chordata; Mammalia; Rodentia; Cricetidae
Exons: 4
Source: RefSeq, a predicted model, not a curated record
CCCCCAAGCUCCUUGGAGGAAACUACCUCUGUCUCCCACCUUAGUAUUGUGGAUAAAGGCAUGCCUAAAGUCUAGAUAUUGAUGUGGGUGCUAAGACCCAAACUCAAAUUCUCAUGCUUGCAAAGCAAGCACUUUACCUGCUGAGCCAUCUCCCCAACCCCCCAGAUAUGUAAAUUCUCAAAACCCACUGUGAACCUUCCAAAUUAGAAGCACUGGAGGCGGGGUCUUCGAUGAUCUGUAUUUCAACAAGCUCCUUUGGAGAUAUGAGAACCAGUGGUCUAGUGCAAAGUAUUCUGUAACUUCCACCUCUCAAAGCUAACUGGAGCAGAAGGCAUGAAGAGGAAGCAGCGCCGAAAAUCUCUGGAAAGUUGUUGAGAAAGGCAUUCUUAUCACACCUAUUUCUGAUAUGCAAGAAUGGAGGCUGGGGAUCCACAUGACUUGUGACAGAGUUAAUAAAAGGUACUAUGCAUGCUACCAAAGGAGAAAGGUAAAUAGGACCCCAGCUACAAUCCUUUGAUCUACAAUGGUGACCUGCCUGUAAGAAGCACUAUGGUACAAGCUUGUGUAAGUAACCCAUCUAAUUGGAUUUAAGGCCCACUCCAUGAAGAGAAACCAGUACCUGACACUGCUUGGAUCUGUGAGAACCCGAGAGAAGAUAGGCCAGGAACCUAGGGAAAAAACAAAUAAUCCUACUGUUCGGCUAGAGGAAUGUAGCAAUACAAUGACUUCUAAGGACAUUCUGCUACACUCCUAAAUCAGUUUUUGUUCAGCCAUCAUCAGAGAAGCAUUCUCCUGCAGUAGAUGAGAACAAAUACAGAGAACCACAACUAGAAAAUAUGCAAUGAGUAACCUUGGAACAUUCAGUCCUAGAAGAAAUGUAUCCAAUAAAUGCCCCCUUCAGGGCUCAGAGAACACUGUGGAAGAGGAGGCAGAAAGUUUGUUAAGAGCCAGAGAGGAUUGAGGACCCCAAGGACACUAAGCCUGCUAAAUAUAGCAGGGCAGAUGCAUAUAUAAAUUCACAGAGACUGUGGCAUCAUGCACAGGGCCUGCACAAGUUUGAGCCAGAUGGGGCCCCAAUGAUGAGAGAGGAAGUGGACACAAGCCCUCAUCUCUAAUCUAACUGAUAACCACUUGCAAAUGAAAAAUUAGUUUUCUCCAACCUAGCCUCAUUGCAUGGACAAACCACUCUUAAGGGCAGGCCCCAUGCCCAGCAGUAGAUAGCCAACACAACAAACUCAAUGGCAUUUUUGAAGGUUCAUAAUCUUAGAAUGCUUUGUCAGGGUUUUUCUUCUGUUUGUUGUUAUUGUUGUUUGUUUGCUUUAUUUUGUUUUGUACCUUAUAGAUCCUUUGCAUAUACUUCAUGGUUCCCCGUUUUGUGUUUCUGUGGGAUUUCUAUGUGUUCAAACAUGCUUGUCUCUGAAUCUACCGCAUCUAUGGCACCCAACGUGGGGCAAGAGUUUCCACCUAAAACCUGAGAAAAAAGAUUCUAAAACGGAGCUAAAAACAGUUCCUAGUUGUCUCUUUCAAGUUAGCAGCAGCCUGCCGGUUUGAGCUACUGGUGGGUUCCUAGCGUGCAUGCUCGACCUGCAGUAUGGUGGGAAUGAGGCCUCUGCAAGUGACACAUUAAGCUGUGUGGUGGAUUUAGCCUUUGCUAGUACAAAACAACAACAAAAAAAAGAGGUUUCUGGGCUACACGCUGCUUUGAUAGAAGCAUAGACCCACUAUUUCUGAAAGUUGAUGGCUCCCAGAGCUGGCAGAAAACUUAUCACUGCCAUGUUGGAAAGCUAAAGUGGGCGGAGUCAGCAGCACCAGUGCUGUUUCAGGCUUAGAAGGCUGCAGUUCAAAGCAAUAGGCUCAAGCUAAUAUAAAAAAGUAAGCCACAUAAAGAUGGCUACCACACAAAGAAUCUGGAUUAUGUUCUCUUUGAAAUUCGUAACUACAAAAAAAAUUUGAUUGUAAAAGCUGUUGAGUUAUGCCAAAAUGUAUAUUUUAAAGGUACCUUGACUUCAAAAUUUGCAUGUAAGGAUGUGUUACUUUGGAAAGGAGACUCUGCUUUUGUUUCCACAGAAAGCCAGAGGCUAUGGAUUUGUUCCAGAUUAAGAUACAUCAAGUUUGACCAGCCAAGACCACCUGAAAGGUCUCCAAUGACACCAUGGCCCAGAUGAUCCAACAUCCAGAACCAUUUCAAGGCAACUGGCUCAGACGAUACACCCUCAUGGACUACUCCAUAACCCUAAAAUAUUCUUUAUGUCCCCAUAAGAUACAGCGCCCCCCUCCAGCAGGAAGUGUAGGUUUUGCAGGAUGGUGUACAACAUCCCGGAGCUUAAGCAGGUGCAGACUCAUCUCCUGAACCUGUGGCUCAGCUGUAGCAUCUCUCAGCUCUGUGGAAAAAGGAAGGCCAGAGAUGAGGAAAGUUUCACUUUUUAGAUUGGACCUCCCGAAGGACCACCAUGGUCCUCAAUGCAAUGAGAGGCCACGUUGGUGUUGGUGGUCCGCGCUGCUUCCCCAGGCCAUGAAGAAACCUGGGAUCCAUUUGGACAUACCUAGCUGCCUGAUGCCUUGAUGAUGUCCUUGGGCUUUUCUGCCUUGGGGAGCCAUGCUGAUGUGAGCGGCUUGUUUAACCACCUGAGACCAUGUUAGGUAUCCUGGUCCAUGUAACUGGUGAAGGCCAUGUGAGGGUCAGUGGUCCUGAUAUAACCAAGAGCCAUGUUAAUGUCUGCCACCCAUGAUACCACCCACACCCAUGGUCGAGGCUGCUGCCUGAAGCCUUGGGCACUGAAGAGCUGGGCUCCAUCCACCACAGGGCCCUCCUUAGCUGAUGGCUUCUGGCAAAUGGAUGCAGGCAGAAAAAGACUCAUCUUUCCUGGGGCAGGGCUGGUCACUAGGAAUUUGACCAUGCUCCAGUGAAUGUAUAGAUAACACAAAAUGGACUUGUUUUUUUUCUUUUUCUUUGGUUGGGGGACAUCACAGGGGAGGGGGUGGACAUGGGAAGACUGGGAGGUGAGUGUGA